GAUAGAGAGACCAAAGAAAGCGUCAGAAGAACUUCCAGUAAACUACUCUUUUUUGUUGGUUCAUGCGGUCUGUAAACUCGUCGAGUUCGCCAUCUACUGUAGAAAAUGACAUGGGUGGCGGAAACACAAGUAGAAUAAUGGUAAGCCGGCAAGCAAGAAAGCAACUAAGCAUGUGGUCGAGACCAUUCUCCGUUUCUCAAAGGAAGGUACUGAUGGAGAUCAUGGUAGUGGAGAACACAAUUAUGAUUGACUGAGACAAACCUGCGAAUACACCAACCAUAUGGGCCAUCAUGUUGAUGAUAAACUAAGGCAUAAACUAAUGAAAAUGACUUGGAUGCAGACACGGCUGCCGAGAGAGACGUGCGGAGCAUUUACAUUAGCUUCUUAUUAUCCAUCCUCUCGACCUGUAAUGCUCUAUUUCUGGCACUUUAUAUAUGGCUCCACUAAUGCAAGGAAAUGGAGGAUCUACUGAUCCGAAAGCUUCUUAGAUUUACUUUUGACUUGUGCACUGUCAUGUUUGAUAGAUUUUGUAGGAGAAUGGCACAGAAAUCUGUAAGUUCAUGGCUGAAGUAUGGAGGAUUGAAGCCAGCCUGAUGAGCCAAGGAUUGGUCAAACAUGCUAUCAGAGUUUGUCAAUGCUUAAUUACUUGGACUAGGAUGCAUCUACAGCCACUAACAAACAGAGUUUUGUCUUAUCAGCUUGGAUGCAGCAAACCCUUUGACUGAAACUUACAGGCAUGCAACUAAAAACAACAUGAUUCUGAUCUAAUCCUUUGUUUACGGAUCUGUACAACCACAUGGAAUGCUCCUCCGGAGACCCGACACAAAUCACAUGGAAGCCAUGAGUUUACUUUCCUGUGAGUUGGCCAAAUUUGACUUUUACAUGAAAGUCUAAACCUUUAGCGUAUCAACUAGGCAUGAGUUCAUAGACAUGAAAGUCUAAAGUCUAAACCUUUAGCGUAUCGACUGGCCAUGAGUUCAUAGACGGAUAUGGAAGUAUACUUGUGCUGAUGGAACUCUGAAAACCCAACGAAUUAACAUCGGUAGUUCAAUCCAGCGAGCCGUGGAGAGUAAAGGAGG
This 1079-nucleotide long non-coding RNA is filed under the name Musa acuminata (dwarf banana). RNAcentral's name for it is "long non-coding RNA (MACU_LNC004762)". The record is from RNAcentral. Lineage: Eukaryota; Viridiplantae; Streptophyta; Magnoliopsida; Zingiberales; Musaceae.